GCCGAUGUGGCGGAAUUGGUAGACGCGCACGCUUCAGGAGCGUGUCCCGCUUUGCGGGAUGGAGGUUCGAGUCCUCUCUUCGGCACCA
This 88-nucleotide transfer RNA is filed under the name Candidatus Pacebacteria bacterium CG_4_10_14_0_8_um_filter_42_14. RNAcentral describes it as "tRNA-Leu". It matches the Rfam family "tRNA". From Rfam's summary of the family: Transfer RNA (tRNA) molecules are approximately 80 nucleotides in length. Their secondary structure includes four short double-helical elements and three loops (D, anti-codon, and T loops). Further hydrogen bonds mediate the characteristic L-shaped molecular structure. tRNAs have two regions of fundamental functional importance: the anti-codon, which is responsible for specific mRNA codon recognition, and the 3' end, to which the tRNAs corresponding amino acid is attached (by aminoacyl-tRNA synthetases). tRNAs cope with the degeneracy of the genetic code in two manners: having more than one tRNA (with a specific anti-codon) for a particular amino acid; and 'wobble' base-pairing, i.e. permitting non-standard base-pairing at the 3rd anti-codon position. The record is from RNAcentral. Lineage: Bacteria; Bacillati; Minisyncoccota.